This 596-nucleotide ribosomal RNA is filed under the name Saccharomyces cerevisiae (brewer's yeast). RNAcentral describes it as "eukaryotic LSU rRNA". It matches the Rfam family "Eukaryotic large subunit ribosomal RNA", at positions 45 to 656 of the family's 3401-position model. The record is from RNAcentral. Lineage: Eukaryota; Fungi; Ascomycota; Saccharomycetes; Saccharomycetales; Saccharomycetaceae.
CCAAUGCUGAGGAAAUUGACCAACCGGGAUUGCCUUAGUAACGGCGAGUGAAGCGGCAAAAGCUCAAAUUUGAAAUCUGGUACCUUCGGUGCCCGAGUUGUAAUUUGGAGAGGGCAACUUUGGGGCCGUUCCUUGUCUAUGUUCCUUGGAACAGGACGUCAUAGAGGGUGAGAAUCCCGUGUGGCGAGGAGUGCGGUUCUUUGUAAAGUGCCUUCGAAGAGUCGAGUUGUUUGGGAAUGCAGCUCUAAGUGGGUGGUAAAUUCCAUCUAAAGCUAAAUAUUGGCGAGAGACCGAUAGCGAACAAGUACAGUGAUGGAAAGAUGAAAAGAACUUUGAAAAGAGAGUGAAAAAGUACGUGAAAUUGUUGAAAGGGAAGGGCAUUUGAUCAGACAUGGUGUUUUGUGCCCUCUGCUCCUUGUGGGUAGGGGAAUCUCGCAUUUCACUGGGCCAGCAUCAGUUUUGGUGGCAGGAUAAAUCCAUAGGAAUGUAGCUUGCCUCGGUAAGUAUUAUAGCCUGUGGGAAUACUGCCAGCUGGGACUGAGGACUGCGACGUAAGUCAAGGAUGCUGGCAUAAUGGUUAUAUGCCGCCCGUCUAA